Molecule: unclassified non-coding RNA, 243 nt
Filed under: uncultured fungus
Lineage: Eukaryota; Fungi
Description: sequence contains ITS2
Source: RNAcentral
AACGCGCAUUGCGCCCCUUGGUAUUCCGAGGGACAUGCCUGUUCGAGCGUCAUUACAACCCUUAAGCAUUGCUUGGUAUUGGGCUCCGCUGCUCACCCAGCGGGCCUUAAAAUCAGUAGCGGUGCCGUCGAAGCCCUGAGCGUAGUAAACAUCCUCGCUAUAGGGACUCGGUGGACGCUGGCCAUCAACCCCCAACUUUCUAAGUUUGACCUUGGAUCAGGUAGGCAUACCCGCUGAACUUAA